GAUUAGAUGGUGACACAAGGUACUACUACCGGGGGAGAAUAGGGAAGUCUGAGUAUGGCCACACCAUACAUAAGCGCGGGCCCGCCACUGUACCGGAGGAGAGCUUACACAGGCCACUCGUCAAGGGGAAGGCGUAAGUAUUGAUGAACCGGGAGCCAGGAGACCUGCCUUACACCGUUUUACAUC
Molecule: non-coding RNA, 186 nt
Filed under: Sporomusa sphaeroides
Lineage: Bacteria; Bacillati; Bacillota; Negativicutes; Selenomonadales; Sporomusaceae
Also listed under: 1 other name
Source: RNAcentral